Long non-coding RNA from Heterocephalus glaber (naked mole-rat), 765 nucleotides. Lineage: Eukaryota; Metazoa; Chordata; Mammalia; Rodentia; Bathyergidae. The record is from Ensembl.
GGGGAGAAGACUUAGAUUCCUAGGCCUCACUGAGUCACUUAGAGUGUGCACUGGUGACCCACACAUUACUCAUAUGUCUGCUAGUUUGCUAAUCUGGGGUUGGCUCAGCAGGGUGGUUUUCUGCCAUUGUGGAUCUCAUGGAUGCCUGGAGGCAGGCUGGGUGUUGCUCAUCUAAAGUGGCCUCAAUGUAGACAACUGGUGUUCUGUAGUCUGGCCGUUGAAUGACCCCAAGGCUGAUGUGUUGAAGGUCUGGCUUUGAGUCUGGUGCUAUUGGAACCUCUUAGGAGGGCCACAGGCUGUGCCAUUUCUGACCUCUGCACUCUGUACAGAUCCAUGUGGUUGUGAACACUCCCUCCAAGGUUUAAAAAUAACUCACAAGGACUGGCAAAGGGGAAGAAAAGAGAAUCUUAUCAUCCCUAAAUGAAUACAUGGCCCAACAAAUUCACAAGACCAAGGUAACAAGAUCCAACUACAAAGAAAUAUGCUAAGUUUGAGAGAAACACACUAGGAGUUAAGAAGAAACUUGAAGUUGCUUUCUGAGGGCCGCACUUACCUCUGCCAGUAGCUGAAGAAGUGUGUCAGUUCAUGCCAUGGUGCCCCCACUUUGCAACCUCAAAGCAGGUCACUGUAAGGAUUCCUUCUGCCUGACACACGGAGAGUGUGAGUUGGCUUUAGGACAGUCCCGGGUCUGCGCACUGCCACACUGCACCAAAUGCCUGCUGAAGGAUGGAAGUAAGAAAGUGUGGUCCUCUUACCCUCAGGGAC